GUGGGGAAUAUUGGGCAAUGGGCGCAAGCCUGACCCAGCAACGCCGCGUGAGGGAAGAAGGCUUUCGGGUUGUAAACCUCUGUCCUUGGUGACGAAGCAAGUGACGGUAGCCAAGGAGGAAGCCCCGGCUAACUACGUGCCAGCAGCCGCGGUAAUACGUAGGGGGCGAGCGUUGUCCGGAAUUACUGGGCGUAAAGGGUGCGUAGGUGGCCUUUUAAGUUGGAUGUGAAAUACCCGGGCAUAAGUAGGGGGGUGCAUGUAAUACUGGGAGGGUAGAGUGCGGGAGAGGGAAGCGGAAUUCCUAGUGUAGCGGUGAAAUGCGUAGAUAUUAGGAGGAACACCAGUGGCGAAGGCGGCUUUCUGGACUGUAACUGACACUGAGGCACGAAAGCGUGGAGAGCAAACAGAAUUAGAUACCCCGGUAGUCC
RNAcentral lists this ribosomal RNA (428 nucleotides) under uncultured bacterium. Its description in RNAcentral is "partial 16S ribosomal RNA". It matches the Rfam family "Bacterial small subunit ribosomal RNA", at positions 354 to 796 of the family's 1533-position model. The record is from RNAcentral.